This 21-nucleotide unclassified non-coding RNA is filed under the name Mus musculus (house mouse). Its description in RNAcentral is "oocyte_clustered_small_RNA1193". The record is from RNAcentral. Lineage: Eukaryota; Metazoa; Chordata; Mammalia; Rodentia; Muridae.
AAUACCUCACUCAGGAUGAUG